RNAcentral lists this small RNA (716 nucleotides) under Pan troglodytes (chimpanzee). RNAcentral describes it as "processed transcript". Lineage: Eukaryota; Metazoa; Chordata; Mammalia; Primates; Hominidae. The record is from RNAcentral.
AUCCGCAUUUGCUACCAGCGGCGGCCGCGGCGGAGCCAGGCCGGUCCUCAGCGCCCAGCACCGCCGCUCCCGGCAACCCGGAGCGCGCACCGCAGGCCGGCGGCCGAGCUCGCGCAUCCCAGCCAUCACUCUUCCACCUGCUCCUUAGAGAAGGGAAGAUGAGUGAGUCGAGCUCGAAGUCCAGCCAGCCCUUGGCCUCCAAGCAGGAAAAGGACGGCACUGAGAAGCGGGGCCGGGGCAGGCCGCGCAAGCAGCCUCCGAAGGAGCCCAGCGAAGUGCCAACACCUAAGAGACCUCGGGGCCGACCAAAGGGAAGCAAAAACAAGGGUGCUGCCAAGACCCGGAAAACCACCACAACUCCAGGAAGGAAACCAAGGGGCAGACCCAAAAAACUGGAGAAGGAGGAAGAGGAGGGCAUCUCGCAGGAGUCCUCGGAGGAGGAGCAGUGACCCAUGCGUGCCGCCUGCUCCUCACUGGAGGAGCAGCUUCCUUCUGGGACUGGACAGCUUUGCUCCGCUCCCACCGCCCCCGCCCCUUCCCCAGGCCCACCAUCACCACCGCCUCUGGCCGCCACCCCCAUCUUCCACCUGUGCCCUCACCACCACACUACACAGCACACCAGCCGCUGCAGGGCUCCCAUGGGCUGAGUGGGGAGCAGUUUUCCCCUGGCCUCAGUUCCCAGCUCCUCCCGCCCACCCACGCAUACACACAUGCCC